UAUGACAUUACAAUAGAUAAGAUUUUAACAACUUUUUCUUUAUGAAUACUAUUGAAUACAGGACAAAUUUUUGAAAAUAUUGACAAAUUAAAUUUAAUCUACAAAUUAAAAAAUCCCAGCUUAUAUACUGUGUAAGAUGAAUGUUUUGGAGACACUUCUCCUGACGUGCCACCGCAGACAAGUCCACGAUCGAGCUAGCUUGAGCCAUGCUUCUGAAGGCAAGCUUUGGAUCUAAUAUCAGCCUGACCACG
RNAcentral lists this long non-coding RNA (251 nucleotides) under Olea europaea subsp. europaea. The record is from RNAcentral. Lineage: Eukaryota; Viridiplantae; Streptophyta; Magnoliopsida; Lamiales; Oleaceae.